Long non-coding RNA from Myiozetetes cayanensis, 2544 nucleotides. RefSeq lists it as uncharacterized. Lineage: Eukaryota; Metazoa; Chordata; Aves; Passeriformes; Tyrannidae. The record is from RefSeq and is a predicted model, not a curated record. The transcript has 5 exons.
AUCUGCCUUAUGUAUUGCUACACCUAGAUGUAUUUUUAACUUCCCUGUGGUAACUAUAGCAUACGUACAGAUGGAUUUACUGAAGGAUGGAUAAAACAUACUACGAAUUACACAGACUGUGCAUAGGGAUACUAGGAAUGUGGUUGGCUGUAAAAGUACCUGACUCUUGCAGUCACUCAUAUUUUUUAAACUGAGACAAUAUUAGAUAGUUGGGUUUCUUUUUUUGCCUUUUUUUCUCUUCCUUUGUUUGCUGUCUGCUGUAAAGGACAGGUUGAAAUCAGGACUCACGUAGCAGAGCUAUUCACAAAGUGGGUUGCUUCUGAGGCCAGACCAGUCCCAUCUGUAAAGGACAAAGGCUGCUCACAGCAUGGUUGUUCAGAGCUAUUCAAGGAUGGAAAACGCAAGGAAUCAUAGAGGAAUAUGUAGAUGUGCUGAGGAUCAAGGUAUGCAGCAUAUGGAGCAAGAGAUUCAACCUAAGCGGACUGGCCGACACCCUGGAGUGCUGUGCAGCUCUUCAGAAGGACCCUGACAGGUUGGAAAGGCAGAAAGAGGGGGAGAAAAAGAGAAAUCGGUGCAGAAUAGAAUGACACUCAAAUGGUGAAUUUCUCAUGUGAAUUCAGAGUUCAAACAGAGGUAAAUUUAGCCUGUUCAUCCACAGUCUCUACUUUGGGAUCAAGCACAGCCUUUUUGUAUUCCAAGGAAGAGACGUUCAUCUCAUUGGGAACACCACUGUGGCCAGCAGACAGCAUCUAGCAGAUCUUCUAACAGCUACCAAGAACACUUCAGCUCUUCAAGUGAGUGCAACCAGCCAUGAUAAUCUGUACAGAUGGUUCCUGGGUGUCAGAUUUUUUUUUCCCCACAGCCUUUUGUUCAGCAGCUGGGAAAACUUCAUGGGUGGAGACCUGUGUGGUAGCUGAAAAUCAGUCAGUCUGGGUUUUGCCAGCACGCAGUUCUGCUGGCCACGCUCGCAAGCUGCUCUGAUGCUGCCUGCUACUGAGUCUACCUUUCAGAUAAACCUUAUCCCUCGGAGUGUACUGGUACUUGAAAAUGAGUCCUUGAAUAACCUGCACAAAAGCUGAACCACCAGAGGCGCUACUUUGGAAAAGCAAGCAGAGGAAGGUACCAGAAGCAGUGCAAAGGGAACACUUCUGGGCUUUGGAAAUUUCUACAUUGCUCUUCUACAGUGACUCAGCUGAAGAUCUCCCAUAUGACCCAGGAGAAUGCGUGGUAGGGUGGGAUUUCCACCCUUUGGAGGAAUGUAGAAUGAUCCUCAGGUAUGACCUCAGCUUCAGCCUAGCUCUCUUCCCACGUCCCCUGGACUUCUCUGGGCAAUCUUUAACCACUGAGCAGCAGAUGCUUGCUGUAGCUCAUGCCAGGCAUUGCACUUCUGUCUUUCUAGGAAUGUUUACCUAAUGUUUUCCAAGGAAAAAAAAAUCUACCUUUUGAUUUUGCACAGCAGGAGAAUUUUCCUGUUGUACCAGAUAACAACCUCAAUAUGUACUUUCACAGUCUGUUUCUUCUAGAGGAUAUUUUUGGCCCAUAAGUGGUGUUUUAAGAAUAAUUCUACCAGUACUAUUUUUAUAAUAUGUAUCACUUCAUGGUGCAUUACUAACCAUAUGGCCAAGCACACUACAUGCAGCUACAUUGCAAGGUUUGCUGCCCAGUAGGCAUGAGAGGCAUUUAUUUUGAAUGAUGUGCAUUGAGGAAAAAAAUUCCGCUUCAAAGGUACAGGCUUAGGACCCUUAUUUCUCUUCUUGGUUCUCCCUUGGUUUUAAAUGAGGUUCAGCUUUUCUCCCUUGGAAUCUCACUGCAAUAAUGUGGGCUCAGAGCAGCUGUUUUUACUUUGCCUUGCUGAUAACUGGCAGGAGAUAAAAUACGGAGGAGUAAAUUCUGCCUGGCUGCUACAGGUUGCAUCACACAAUCGCUGACUGGUAGGUCUCUGAGAAUUGUUACUGAUAGCUAGAUUUUAUCUUGGUAGGGGUAAGAGCUCAUGAAACAGGAUGACUCAAGGAAUGACUAAUGAACACUUUAUGAUGAAACUUCUGUCUAAGCCAUGUCAACUGUGACCAAAAAUUAUCAUCAGGGAGUUAUUUGACAGUCUAGGUUGAGUGAGCAGAUGCCCUGAGACCACCUUGUUGUAGACAUGUCUUAAAUGUGAAAUCCACUAAUUCAGUUUGUAUCAAUUAAUGUCAGUGGGGAAAACCACAAAUGGUGAUGAGGCAUGGUGGUGAACUUGGUUACCCCUCAAGUGGCUUCUCCCAUUUAGAGCUGGCCAUUUAAUGAGGUAGAUGAUAAACACAAAGUAAUGGCAGUUUCUCGUUUGUAAAUAAAUCAUUCCAGUCAGAUGUAUACACACAGCUUUGUUUUGUGUGUUCAUACAGAAACGCAGACUCCCAGGAACAGUUCCAGAUACUCAGCUGGGAUUACAUUAUCAACACGGGCAUCAUCGUAUUUAGGUGGGCCUCCUAUGCAAAUGUCAUGGGGAGUCCCUCUGUGUGACUCUAAGUUAUGACUCUACCAAAAUAUCCUUCUUCAGCUCCUUGA